AGAUUUAAUGAUAUUGGAUAAAACAUGGGGCAUGGGUUAGCUCAAAUUAGAUCCUUUUAAUUGGAUUAGAUCUAAAGUUAGAAUCNNNNNNNNNNNNNNNNNNNNCAUACUCGAGAUCAAACACAAUAGUUGUAGAAGGUCGAGUUUAUAUCUUUGAUUAAACCAAAUAGACCUUGAUUGAGGCUCAAAAGUUGAUCUUGAGUCAUUGAGCUGAUUAGAUCAUUAAGUGACUCGAGUUGAUCGAUGUCGUUAAAGUUAAUCAGCAUGAUUGAUUUAGUUACCCCAGAUCGAUUUAUCUUUAGUCUUUCUCAUGACUUGGUGAAGUCAGUGGGAGGAUUUACGACUUGUUGGUUGGACCAGCUAGUCUCUAGUCUUUUACAUGACUUGGUGAAGUCAGUGGGAGGAUUUAUGACUUGUAGGUCGACUGAUUACUUCUAAAAUAUAUUAAUCAAAUUUUUUAAAUUAUUAGAUCUAUAAAAUGAGCUAGUUAUGGAGAUAAUUAGAUCAUAGCCUCCCAUUAAAUUGGGUGAUAAUGGGUCUUGUUGGUGCAAAAAUCUGCCUGCGCCGGAGAAGCUGGAGUCGUGGGAGUCGCGGUCACCGUCGGGACCUGCAAAAGAAGUCUAGACCGGAGGUGGGGUUGCUCCGGCAAGAUCCUCCGACGCUCAAGUCAGUUCUCUGCCUCAACAAGAAUGGAGUGCUCGAACGAAAAUUUUAGCAGAGUUUUUGGGAUAGAAAAUACAGCUUAGAGAAUAACGUAUCUGGGGUCCCCCCCUUUUAUAGGCGGAGAGAGCAACAGACUGAUAGCGACGUUUAUAACCAUCCGGCAGUGGGCUACCCAUGGUCAGGAGGAGUUUGUUGCGAAGAGUAGUGGAGUGGAAUCGUGGCUAUCGCCGGGACACGCCACGUCGAGUCUGUCGCGAGGGGUGGAGCGGCGUCCGUUGUCGCGACUUGCCAGAGGAUGGAGGAAUCGCAUAGUAUCCGUCGCAGGAAGUGGAGUAGGAUCGUGGCCAUUAUUGCGGUCUACCAGGGAGUGAUGGAGCCACGCGAAAUCCAUCGCAGGAAGUGGAGCAGAGUCAUGGCCGUUGCGGUGGCCUGCUAGGGGGUCCAGGCCUGUCGGCCGAAGUCCGGCUGGAGUGUCUGGCGGAGAGGGGUGGCUAGUUGCCCGUCUGAGAGGAACUCAGAGUCCUGCUCUCAUGGGAGUUCGGACGAAGUCUUCCUUCAGUUGAAGUCGGAGACGAGAUCUGGCCCCCGUAGGAGCCCGAGCGAAGUCUACCUGCAGUCAAAGUCAGGGGCGAAGUCCGGCUCCCUUAGGAGUCCGGACGAAGUUUACCAGCAGUUGGGGUCGAGGACGGAGCCCGGCUCCCGUAGGAGUCUGGGCGAAGCCUUCCCGCAGUCGAGGUCGGGGACGAGAUCCGGCUCCCAUAGGAGUCUGGGCUGAGUCUUCCUGCAAUUGGAGUUGUGGGUGAAGUUCGGCUCCCGUAGCAGUCCAGACGAAGUUUACCUGUAAGCGAAGUCGUGGGCGGAGCCCGGCUCUCAUAGGAGUCCGGGCGAAGUCCGCCCGCAGUCGG
This 1568-nucleotide long non-coding RNA is filed under the name Elaeis guineensis (African oil palm). RNAcentral's name for it is "long non-coding RNA (EGUI_LNC036468)". Lineage: Eukaryota; Viridiplantae; Streptophyta; Magnoliopsida; Arecales; Arecaceae. The record is from RNAcentral.